This 511-nucleotide ribosomal RNA is filed under the name Jiangella sp. 1011MAR4D76. RNAcentral describes it as "bacterial SSU rRNA". It matches the Rfam family "Bacterial small subunit ribosomal RNA", at positions 84 to 605 of the family's 1533-position model. Lineage: Bacteria; Bacillati; Actinomycetota; Actinomycetes; Jiangellales; Jiangellaceae. The record is from RNAcentral.
GGGGUACUCGAGCGGCGAACGGGUGAGUAACACUGUGGGGUAACCUGCCUUCAGCUCUGGGAUAAGCCUGGGAAACUGGGUCUAAUACCGGAUACGACACGCGACCGCAUGGUGUGUGUGUGGAAAGUUUUUCGGCUGGAGAUGGACUCGCGGCCUAUCAGCUUGUUGGUGGGGUAGUGGCCUACCAAGGCGAUGACGGGUAGCCGGCCUGAGAGGGCGACCGGCCACACUGGGACUGAACACGGCCCAGACUCCUACGGGAGGCAGCAGUGGGGAAUAUUGCGCAAUGGGCGAAAGCCUGACGCAGCAACGCCGCGUGAGGGAUGACGGCCUUCGGGUUGUAAACCUCUUUCAGCGCUGACGAAGCCUUCGGGUGACGGUAGGCGCAGAAGAAGCACCGGCUAACUACGUGCCAGCAGCCGCGGUAAUACGUAGGGUGCGAGCGUUGUCCGGAAUUAUUGGGCGUAAAGGGCUCGUAGGCGGUUUGUUUGCGUCUGCUGUGAAAGCCCGG